CAUAAGAAAAAAUCGAGUAAUCUUCUCUUGUUUCCUUCAAACACAAGAAUUGCAGCUAAAACAUCUUUGGGGUUUGUCUAAAUGAUGAUUUAAGGCUGUCAGUUAUUGGUGCAACGCGAGAGGUUGGGAUCUUCCUUACUGGUGUUACUGGUUACUUAUUUGAUUUGUUGAUUGAUUCAUUACUUAGGAUGUGGUGUUUGUUUUACUGAAUGACGGGGAUAGGAUUGUGAAAGGAGAGUGCUCGAGUUUUUUUAAGCUCGCAUUUAGGGCCCCUCUUGGACAGAACAAAGGCAUAGCUUCUACGAGUAUGUGCAGAUCAAUUGUGAUUUACUCAUCGUUGAAUGAAUAUUGAAUUUAUUCGGGCUACUGCUAGUCAACAACUGGCUUGGGCUCAUGCGCUCUUUUCAUGCAGCUGUAUAUAGUUAUACUAUUGCAGCAUAGUUUCUAGUCUAUGUGCUUUCUUCUUCUCCCAGG
Molecule: long non-coding RNA, 474 nt
Organism: Papaver somniferum (opium poppy)
Lineage: Eukaryota; Viridiplantae; Streptophyta; Magnoliopsida; Ranunculales; Papaveraceae
Exons: 3
Source: RefSeq, a predicted model, not a curated record